Postia placenta MAD-698-R-SB12 is the source of this 83-nucleotide non-coding RNA. NCBI's taxonomy places the organism in Eukaryota, Fungi, Basidiomycota, Agaricomycetes, Polyporales, Adustoporiaceae. The record is from the annotation of a RefSeq genome assembly.
UCCCUGGUAGUAUAUCGGUUAGUACACGCGCUUGUCACGACGCCUUUGCGCGCGAAAGCGGGGUUCGACUCCCCGCCAGGGAG